This 29-nucleotide non-coding RNA is filed under the name Mus musculus (house mouse). Lineage: Eukaryota; Metazoa; Chordata; Mammalia; Rodentia; Muridae. The record is from RNAcentral.
UAAGCUUGCCAAAGCUCUGGUGUCUCCUU